Long non-coding RNA from Eriocheir sinensis (Chinese mitten crab), 1597 nucleotides. RefSeq lists it as uncharacterized. Lineage: Eukaryota; Metazoa; Arthropoda; Malacostraca; Decapoda; Varunidae. The record is from RefSeq and is a predicted model, not a curated record. The transcript has 5 exons.
GGCCCACAAACAUAAACAUUCCCUUCCCCCUUCCCUGAAGGAUCCACAUGACGGGACCGCAGAGACUCCGGGUAAACUUAAACAGUCAAUUCCCUUCCCCCUUCGUGCGGACCGAUCAGUCGCUAGCACGGAAAGGUUGGUAUGUCGGAAGGUGUGGAGUGCGCUUCUUGAUCUUCAUCACUGCUGGUUUUGUUUACAUUUCCACACGACAACGAGAGCAGCCGCAGUUUAUUCAUCCGAUUAUUGGACCAGGUAAGCACAUUUCCUUAUCAUAAUGUUAGUUUUUUACAGUUUAAUGACAGAGGUUACCUAUAUGAACAAGUAAAAAGGUCGAGUGUAGCCCUCAUUGCUUAGAGUAGAUGAUGCCAGCCUGCACAUGGACGAGACCCUCACAAAGAUUAUUGUCCUUCCAUUAUGUGCCCAAGUAAGCACAUUUCCCUGUCAUAGUGUUAGUUUUUAGCUGUUUAAUGACAGGGUUGACCUAUGUGAACAAGUAAUAAGGUUGCGUGUGGCCCUCAAAACACACAUGGAUGAGGCCCAGACUAAGGCUAUUUUCAUCCCAUUAUUGGAGCAGAGAACGUAGGAUUUCUAGAAAUGGAAGGAGCACUGAGUGCCAGAAGCAGUCCAAUGUCACCUCCUGAGCGAGACCUUCUCAUGGGCCUCAUCUGUGAGGAGAUGAUCCUCCAAGACAGGAGGACAGACGGGAAGGUUGUCCUCCAGAAGAGGGCAGCGUGGGCCCGAAUCACGCGCCUGUUUAAUUUCCACAACCUUGGACCGCAGCGCACUGAGCAGCAACUCAAGAAAGUUUGGGAGCGUUUAAAAGUAAAGGCAAAACAAGAACAUGCAGUGAAGAGGCGGGAGGACAUGAGAACUGGUGGAGGUGCCCCUCCUGCGGAUCUGCCAAAAGAAUCGGACCAAGUGCUGACAAUACUUGGCACGGAUUUGCACGACAUAGGAAAUCCGUUUGACCUCGAUGCAAUGCCAGCCAUGUCCAAGUCGCACCGACAAAGUCUACUCAUCCGAUUUACCAAGUCUCUCUUUGUGAGAGCAAAUUCAUAUUCAGAAAAAACACUUGCAGUAUGCAGUGUUGUAGCACAUCCUGCAACAAAUUCCGUGGAAGAGGAGGUUCCAGCAUCACCACAAGCAAAAGAACCAGAGGAGGUGCCCGCCCCCUCACCAUCAACUGUCAGGACAAGGCAUUGCAGAAACAGAGCAGCAACCAGCUACAAAAACACGACUGCCACACCAGAACUAUUAGAAAUUAGUAGGGAGAGGGAGAUUACAAACAAUAGGUUUUUGGAGAAGAGGGAGCAUUUGAUCGAUCUUCAAAUCAAACACAUGAAAGUGAAAAUAGCUGAAGCAGAACAAAGGGAGGAAGAGGCUAGAUUUAGAAAAGAGAUAACAAAAAAAGAACUUAAAAAGCUAAAUAAUAGCUAAGGAUGUACACAGGUAGGACAUCACAGGGAAUGUUUAUGUAAUAUAGACUAAGGAAAGAAUAAAACUAUAAAGUAACUUGUGUUUUAAUUAACAAUGAAAAUAAAGGUUUUACGAGAACAUACAUACACACUUCUUCCCACCUCAUCAUUCAUUCUGAAAA